AGGAGCGCGAGUCUGGAUCGCCGCUGGGGACUUCGGUCGCCCGGCGGAGGAAAGUCCGAGCUCCGCAGGGCAGGAUGCCGGGUAACGCCCGGGCGGCGAGAGCCGACGGAAAGUGCCACAGAGAGCAGACCGCCGAUGGUCCCUCACGGGACACAGGUAAGGGUGAAAGGGUGCGGUAAGAGCGCACCGGGUCCCUGGCAACAGUGGAUCGCAUGGCAAACCCCAUCCGGAGCAAGGCCAAGCAGGGACGAGGGGCGGCCCGCCCCACUCGAGUCCCGGGUCGGCCGCACGAGCGCCGUGGCGACACGGAGCCAAGAGAAAUGGUCCAGCCCCGGAAACGGGGACAGAACUCGGCUUAUUCCGCGCACCGUGCC
This 374-nucleotide RNase P RNA is filed under the name Gemmatimonadales bacterium. Its description in RNAcentral is "RNase P RNA component class A". It matches the Rfam family "Bacterial RNase P class A". From Rfam's summary of the family: Ribonuclease P (RNase P) is a ubiquitous endoribonuclease, found in archaea, bacteria and eukarya as well as chloroplasts and mitochondria. Its best characterised activity is the generation of mature 5'-ends of tRNAs by cleaving the 5'-leader elements of precursor-tRNAs. Lineage: Bacteria; Pseudomonadati; Gemmatimonadota; Gemmatimonadia; Gemmatimonadales. The record is from RNAcentral.